GUCCUUUCAGGGACAUUGGAUCAAAUUUGAACAGCACAGAAAAGGUUAGCAUGAACCUUGCACAAAGAUGACACACACAAAUAAAGGAAUGGUCCGUUCUUUU
Molecule: non-coding RNA, 103 nt
Organism: Hordeum vulgare subsp. vulgare (domesticated barley)
Lineage: Eukaryota; Viridiplantae; Streptophyta; Magnoliopsida; Poales; Poaceae
Source: Rfam